UCAGCCGUGGGCCGGGGGGUUGGGCCGGUCGGCGUUCUCGUUGCCGCCGUCCUUGCCUGCCUCGCCGCUCGGAUUCGGCUGGCCGGG
Molecule: transfer RNA, 87 nt
Filed under: Mycolicibacterium senegalense
Lineage: Bacteria; Bacillati; Actinomycetota; Actinomycetes; Mycobacteriales; Mycobacteriaceae
Also listed under: 1 other name
Description: tRNA-Glu(ctc)
Source: RNAcentral